Molecule: unclassified non-coding RNA, 268 nt
Filed under: Hevea brasiliensis (rubber tree)
Lineage: Eukaryota; Viridiplantae; Streptophyta; Magnoliopsida; Malpighiales; Euphorbiaceae
Source: RNAcentral
UGGCCUGAAGCUUCAAUGCUUCUUAUGCCUUGCAUCCUCGCAUAAGCCUUAAUCAAUAUCUCAUAACUCUUCCCACUUGAAUGAAAACUAACAUUUCUCAUUGUAAUCCUCAUAAUCUCUAAAGCUUCUUUUUUUCUUCUCACAAAGCCCUUCAAUCAACAAAUCACUGUGGAAGCUUCAGGUCUAAAAUCUUUCCUACAUAUCUUUGUAGACAAUAAUGGCUGAAUCAACAUCACCAACUCUGCAGUAGCCAUUGAUUAGGUGCUCA